Pipistrellus kuhlii (Kuhl's pipistrelle) is the source of this 2499-nucleotide long non-coding RNA. RefSeq lists it as uncharacterized. NCBI's taxonomy places the organism in Eukaryota, Metazoa, Chordata, Mammalia, Chiroptera, Vespertilionidae. The transcript has 2 exons. The record is from RefSeq and is a predicted model, not a curated record.
UCCAUUGAGCCAAACCGGUUUCGGCUAGGUGAUUUCUUUAUGAGUCAAGCCAGUGUAUAUAUCAGUGGCUUGUUCCUGUUUACUUCUGGAUAGUAUUCCAUGGAAUGAAUGUACUAUUGUUUGUUUAUGCUCCUCUUGAUGAAGACUUGUUUUCUAGUUCUUAUGAAUAAAGCUGCUAUAAACAUUCAAGUACAAGUCUUUGGGGUAGACAUGUGUUUUCAUUGGAGUAAAUACCUAAGACUAAAACAACUGUAUCAUAGAGGAUGCAGAUGCUUAGUUGUAUAACUGACUGCCAAACCUCUUCCCAAAACCCUGUAUGUACCAUUCUGCACUUCCAUUGAGAAUGUAUGAGAGUACAGUGCCUCCACAUCCCUCCCAGCCUUCAGUGUUAAUUUGUAUGCUUCUCUUGAUAGUAAACACCUUUUCGUGUGCUUUUUGGCCUUUUGUACAUCUUUUGUGAAUUAUCUAUGUUUUAGGUUAGUACUUAAAUUUUGAGUCUAAUAGUGCAGAGAUAUAAUUUUAUUUGUGUGACAAAAAGCUCUUUAAAAUGAUGUAACUGGAAAGAUGCCUAGAGGGCAGUAAUUGAGAGUAACCAUCCGUGAUGAGCAGAUAGACAACUCCCAACUGGUCUGCCGGAAGUUCUACUUUGAUUUUUAGGUGAUUUUUUUAUUAGUCAAGCCAGUGUUUAGAGGAAGAUUCUCUGGUUACAAUUCUUAAAAGAUAAAUGUCUUAAUUCCUUAAAACUAUGGAAAUAAAUUAAUUUUUCGAUCAGAGGAAAUUUGAAGUACUUUGAAACAAAAAUAUAUCAAGAAUAUGUGAUACUUUUAUUUAAUUAAAAUUCGGUAUAUCCUUAUAUUCACUGUAGUUUUUAAUCUCCCAUCAUACUACAGUAAGUAGGAAGCCAUAUGUACCCAUGAUGCAGAUAUGAGUUAUCCAGGAUGUUUCACUUUGGUCCCCAAAAUGUGAUCCAUAUAUUGAAAAUAUCCAUUUUCUUAGUAACUGGGUAUAAAACUUGAAGAAUCAUGAAUUUUAAGAUGUAACCAGGGAAUGUUUAGAAAAUACACUUUGAGUUUAUGUCUAUGGGACAUAGACAUAGGCCUUUGCUAAGACAAACAAAAGAGUUUUUUCCAACAGCUUUCAUUCUGUUUGUGAUUCUAGAAUAUAGCCUAAAUUAAAUUAUAUAUGUUAACCACUUUUGACCUUUAGGUAAAAAUAAUUCACUGCAGACAUGGCUUUUUUGACCACAGCUGCUUAUUGUUGAUAUUAUUGGUAACGUUUGACACAGUACAGAAAAACGGAGGGGGGAAAUCCAUGAGCCAGACAGUUACAGGCCCAAUGGUUUGAGAUAAAGUAAUAGAACUGUCCCUAACUAUUGAGCCAUCACUGGGUUCCUUAUGUCUCCGUGCUCUGCCAUCUCCCCCUUGGAAAGAGCACAUUAAAUAGUCUGCGGAUGGCUCAGCUGGUGACCUUCCCUGUCACUGCUCCGUUGUGUGCUUCUCCUGGACAGCAUAGAGGGGCCACCAAAAGCCAGAAUGUGUUCUUUCACACUGAAAGGCUGCAAGUGUCAUCUGCAGAGGAGCCGUCAGACUUGUUCACCCUGUCACCCCAGCGCAGGGCUUGGCACAGAGGGAAUGCACAGCAAAUAUUUGUUGACUUGAAAUGAAAGGUUGCUUUGUAGCCAUGAAACUGAAAAAUGCAGGCAGGGCCCUGUCGUAAAGUUAUGUCAACAGUAAGGAGAGUUCUGCUACAGGGUAAUGACCGCCAUCCAGCCUGGAAUGUGGAGUGUGCAGAAAAGGCCACUUGUCCUGCCCCCUUUUUUAAUUCCGACCCACACACCAGGAGAGGACCAGCAUGACUCUUGGGCUGCCGACCACCUGUUACUGUUUUGUGCCUGCUGCUUGCCCCUGGUCUUGGCAGCAGUCUCUUCAGAAGUAGUCAUGCAGAGUUUGGAAAAAGAAAUUGGGCUGAUUUUGAAACUCUUCCAAGCUAUCCUUGCUCUUCAAUAAGGCAGAAAUGAGUCUCUAACUUGACACUUGGUAAACACCUUAAAAGACACUUUCACGUACGCGGUAAUUAAGUUGAAAGAGUUAGCUUGUGGUGACACCCUUACAACCUUUCAAGCACAUCUUUCCUUCUUUUAUAUAAGCUUAUAUUUAGAUCUCAUUUUUAUGAACAUGUCCCUGAUGAGUACAGAGACAGGCGCAUGAGCCAAGGUGAAGUUUACUGAAUGUCAUCUGAAAAGCCUUCUGGGGGCUGACAUUGCGUUGUGACACUGUCAUUUAUGGGGCUGCGAGGCCUCAGUCCUCAGAGAGCUGUUCUAAAGCAGCUUAUUUCUGUGGUUAAUUCCUCUGCCCCAAUAGGGAAUCUCCUCUUAGUUUAGCAGUAUGUCAGAAAUACUUUAAAGACUAGCAGAUGUUUGGGUUAAUAAAAACCAUACUUAUCUUCUUUCAUUGCUGUUACACAUUCUUACUGUGACUUCUUCAUAGGGACUUUGAAUAA